Molecule: unclassified non-coding RNA, 439 nt
Filed under: Hevea brasiliensis (rubber tree)
Lineage: Eukaryota; Viridiplantae; Streptophyta; Magnoliopsida; Malpighiales; Euphorbiaceae
Source: RNAcentral
GCCCUUUUAAUUAAUUGUUGUUUGAAAAAAGAGAGGAUCAUUGUGGUAAUUAAAUUAACAAAAUAAUAAUUAUUAUUAUGAUUUCUUUCUCCUUACUUUCUUCGCUUCCUAAACAAGAGAAGAGAAAGUACACUUUCUCCACCUUCAUUCUCACUCCCUAUUCCCUUCACUUUCUCUACCUUCAUUUUCUUUCCCCUCUUACAUUUUUCCCCAAACAAAGGGCUAAUCAUUGUUUUGCUGCCAUUUAUCAUUGUCCCUCAUUCAAUUAGACACAAACAAUGCUUUCAUCAUGUAAAGAUCUACAUGAGGAUUUAUUUUCAGGGAAAGUCAAGGUUGGUGAGCCCUAUAUAGUCUCAAACAAUCUCAUUGUGCUUGAUUCGGACGGAUUGUUUUUAAUGUGGUUAUUUACUUUGGUCUCAAGCAUCAAUGAUAACCAUUU